RNAcentral lists this transfer RNA (75 nucleotides) under Ovis ammon (argali). RNAcentral describes it as "tRNA-Leu". It matches the Rfam family "tRNA". From Rfam's summary of the family: Transfer RNA (tRNA) molecules are approximately 80 nucleotides in length. Their secondary structure includes four short double-helical elements and three loops (D, anti-codon, and T loops). Lineage: Eukaryota; Metazoa; Chordata; Mammalia; Artiodactyla; Bovidae. The record is from RNAcentral.
GUUAAGGUGGCCAAGCCCGGUAAUUGCGUAAAACUUAAACCUUUAUACUCAGAGAUUCAAAUCCUCUCCUUAACA